Molecule: ribosomal RNA, 563 nt
Filed under: Salmonella enterica subsp. enterica serovar Typhi
Lineage: Bacteria; Pseudomonadati; Pseudomonadota; Gammaproteobacteria; Enterobacterales; Enterobacteriaceae
Description: partial 23S ribosomal RNA
Rfam family: Bacterial large subunit ribosomal RNA
Source: RNAcentral
CUUGACUGCGAGCGUGACGGCGCGAGCAGGUGCGAAAGCAGGUCAUAGUGAUCCGGUGGUUCUGAAUGGAAGGGCCAUCGCUCAACGGAUAAAAGGUACUCCGGGGAUAACAGGCUGAUACCGCCCAAGAGUUCAUAUCGACGGCGGUGUUUGGCACCUCGAUGUCGGCUCAUCACAUCCUGGGGCUGAAGUAGGUCCCAAGGGUAUGGCUGUUCGCCAUUUAAAGUGGUACGCGAGCUGGGUUUAGAACGUCGUGAGACAGUUCGGUCCCUAUCUGCCGUGGGCGCUGGAGAACUGAGGGGGGCUGCUCCUAGUACGAGAGGACCGGAGUGGACGCAUCACUGGUGUUCGGGUUGUCAUGCCAAUGGCACUGCCCGGUAGCUAAAUGCGGAAGAGAUAAGUGCUGAAAGCAUCUAAGCACGAAACUUGCCCCGAGAUGAGUUCUCCCUGAGACUUUAGGUCUCCUGAAGGAACGUUGAAGACGACGACGUUGAUAGGCCGGGUGUGUAAGCGCAGCGAUGCGUUGAGCUAACCGGUACUAAUGAACCGUGAGGCUUAACCUU